AUGGACAGUGGAGACGAGUUUUUCUUCCAUCACUUCCUUUGUUCAUCGGAUGAUUCGUCGUCGGAUGAUGACGAUCAUGUGGUGGCUGCACUAGUCGUUCACGACCAUAUUCAACGGCAGCUUCCUCGGUAUAGGGGGUCAGUCCCUGGCCGUGCUCCCAACCUGAACCGCAACAGGGAGAGAGGCCACGCCCUGCUCUAUGCCGAUUACUUUGCCAACACCCCGCUCUUCAGGCCGGAUAAAUUUCGUCGCCGUUUUCGUAUGGCAAGGCAUGUGUUCAAUCGUAUCCGAGAGGGAGUGGUUGCUCAUGACCCAUACUUCAAGUGCAAGACGGAUGCCCUUGGCAAGCUUGGAUUCUCCUCCUACCAGAAAUGCACCGCGGCCAUCCGCAUGCUUGCAUAUGGAAUUCCAGGCGAUUUGGCGGAUGAGUAUGUGCGUAUGAGUGAGACAACAUGUCUGAUGUCAAUGUACAAGUUUUGCCAGGCUGUGAUCGAGGUCUUUGGCCCAGAGUACUUGAGGCAGCCAACUGCCGCUGAUACAGAGAGAUUGUUGGCGACCAACGCAGCUAGAGGCUUUCCAGGUAUGCUUGGCAGCAUAGAUUGUAUGCACUGGGAGUGGAACAACUGUCCAUUUGCUUGGCAGGGCCAGUACAAGGGGCAUGUUAACGGGUGCACUGUCAUAUUAGAAGCGGUGGCAUCACAAGAUCUUUGGAUAUGGCAUUCUUUUUUCGGCAUGGCAGGUUCGCACAAUGAUAUCAACGUGCUGCAGCGUUCUCCAGUCUUCGCGAGGCUUGCAGAAGGCCACUCCCCACCUGUCAACUUUGAGAUCAACGACCAUCAUUACAACAAGAGAUACUAUCUAGCAGAUGGUAUAUAUCCUCAGUGA
RNAcentral lists this ribosomal RNA (885 nucleotides) under Triticum aestivum (bread wheat). RNAcentral describes it as "partial small subunit ribosomal RNA". Lineage: Eukaryota; Viridiplantae; Streptophyta; Magnoliopsida; Poales; Poaceae. The record is from RNAcentral.